Molecule: long non-coding RNA, 487 nt
Filed under: Helianthus annuus (common sunflower)
Lineage: Eukaryota; Viridiplantae; Streptophyta; Magnoliopsida; Asterales; Asteraceae
Description: hypothetical non coding rna
Source: RNAcentral
GUCUGGUCGAUCAAAUAGAAGGGGGCGACCAAGAGUUCAUUCCCCAAACCCUAGUUCUUACAAAUCAUUCAAAUUGAAGGAUUAAAUCAGUUCCAAAGCGAAAUCAGAGCCUAGUUUCAUGAUCUCCUCAUCAAAGGGAUCAUAAGGUAAGGAAUCCGGAUCGUCAAGUGGACAAGCCGAUGGAGAUACGCGUUUGAAGACGGUGCUUUAAAGAAACCAAGGAUGAUGAAUUACGCAAGUGAUGCUCGUUUGUUGUGGAUGUUGAUCAAGCAAGGGAAUCAAGAACCGAACACAAGUUUUGAAUGCUUCCGCGCUAAUCUAAUCUAGUUUUAAAACCUGUUGUUUUGUAAACUCUUUUGAAUGUUGAACAUUUUAAUCUAGUUAGUCGACUAUGUUUAAAUACAUAAUGACGUACAUCUUAGUUAUUAACUAAACUUUUGUUGGUCAUGUAUUUCGAAUAUAAAAAGUCCGUAUUUUAUGGUUAUAA